AGUGAACGCUGGCGGUAGGCCUAACACAUGCAAGUCGAACGGCAGCACAGUAAGAGCUUGCUCUUACGGGUGGCGAGUGGCGGACGGGUGAGGAAUACAUCGGAAUCUACUUUUUCGUGGGGGAUAACGUAGGGAAACUUACGCUAAUACCGCAUACGACCUACGGGUGAAAGCAGGGGAUCUUCUGACCUUGCGCGAUUGAAUGAGCCGAUGUCGGAUUAGCUAGUUGGCGGGGUAAAGGCCCACCAAGGCGACGAUCCGUAGCUGGUCUGAGAGGAUGAUCAGCCACACUGGAACUGAGACACGGUCCAGACUCCUACGGGAGGCAGCAGUGGGGAAUAUUGGACAAAGGGCGCAAGCCUGAUACAGCCAUACCGCGUGGGUGAAGAAGGCCUUCGGGUUGUAAAGCCCUUUUGUUGGGAAAGAAAAGCAGCAGGUUAAUACCCCGCUGUUCUGACGGUACCCAAAGAAUAAGCACCGGCUAACUUCGUG
RNAcentral lists this ribosomal RNA (492 nucleotides) under uncultured bacterium. Its description in RNAcentral is "partial 16S ribosomal RNA". It matches the Rfam family "Bacterial small subunit ribosomal RNA", at positions 29 to 507 of the family's 1533-position model. The record is from RNAcentral.